UGGGAGGAAACUAUUGGAAUCUCUUACAAGGCUCUGCAACUUCCUUUUGCGUGGGAUGGUGGGAUUAGGCCUAUUGCUGUUGGGAACACGUUGCGGCGCCUUGUUUCGAAGCUUGCUUGUCGUGCAGUCAAGGAAGAGAUGGCGAAAUAUCUUCAGCCAUUUCAGGUUGGCUUUGUCGUGUGAGGC
This is a long non-coding RNA of Cydia splendana, 186 nucleotides long. RefSeq lists it as uncharacterized. NCBI's taxonomy places the organism in Eukaryota, Metazoa, Arthropoda, Insecta, Lepidoptera, Tortricidae. The transcript is spliced from 3 exons. The record is from RefSeq and is a predicted model, not a curated record.